CUUGGCGACCAUAGCACUUUGGACCCACCUGACUUCCAUUCCGAACUCAGAAGUGAAACGAAGUAGCGUCGAUGGUAGUGUGGGGC
RNAcentral lists this ribosomal RNA (86 nucleotides) under Vibrio parahaemolyticus. The record is from RNAcentral. Lineage: Bacteria; Pseudomonadati; Pseudomonadota; Gammaproteobacteria; Vibrionales; Vibrionaceae.